Molecule: ribosomal RNA, 429 nt
Filed under: Pseudomonadota bacterium
Lineage: Bacteria; Pseudomonadati; Pseudomonadota
Description: Proteobacteria bacterium partial 16S ribosomal RNA
Rfam family: Bacterial small subunit ribosomal RNA
Source: RNAcentral
UGGGGAAUAUUGGACAAUGGGCGAAAGCCUGAUCCAGCCAUGCCGCGUGUGUGAAGAAGGUCUUCGGAUUGUAAAGCACUUUAAGUUGGGAGGAAGGGCAGUAAGCGAAUACCUUGCUGUUUUGACGUUACCGACAGAAUAAGCACCGGCUAACUCUGUGCCAGCACCCGCUGUAAUACAGAGGGUGCAAGCGUUAAUCGGAAUUACUGGGCGUAAAGCGCGCGUAGGUGGUUCGUUAAGUUGAAUGUGAAAGCCCCGGGCUCAAACUGGGAACUGCAUCCAAAACUGGCGAGCUAGAGUAGGGCAGAGGGUGGUGGAAUUUCCUGUGUAGCGGUGAAAUGCGUAGAUAUAGGAAGGAACACCAGUGGCGAAGGCGACCACCUGGGCUCAUACUGACACUGAGGUGCGAAAGCGUGGGGAGCAAACAGG